RNAcentral lists this long non-coding RNA (3009 nucleotides) under Marmota monax (woodchuck). The record is from RNAcentral. Lineage: Eukaryota; Metazoa; Chordata; Mammalia; Rodentia; Sciuridae.
AGGGUUUCCACAGUACUUGGCUUAAUUGUAUCCAGAAUAAAUCACAGUUAAUCUGAAUGCAGAGUUAGCUAGGGCCCUGCGGACAGCUCACUUUGUCCUUAGGCCACCUUUGUAAUGUCUUGGCUGAGUUCAGCUGGUUGCAAAAUCAACAAGGGCGCAGGCCUGGUUUUCUUUGCUGCACUCUCCCCCAUGUUUGGAACCAUGCCUGGCAGAUAAUCAGGGCUCAAUAAUCCUCGUCGACUGAAGGAAGGAAAACACAGGUUUAAAGAGUUUAUAUUACCAUCAUAGGGUAGCUACUUAGAUCAGCAUUGGGGCUGAAUGAACACCUGCUUUUGAUAUUUACAGUGAAUUAAAACAGGACCCCUGGAUCCAUUCAUCCAAUUGUUCUUCCUUCUCUCCAAAUUAAGACCAUCACACUGUCCUGGCCCUUAGAAAUCAUUAGGCUGUUGAUAAAAAUGGGUCACGACGUCUGGAUUUGGGGCAGUUUGAGCAGGAGAGAGAGAGAGAGAUCAGAACAGGAAAAGUUACUGUGAACAAAAGGACACAUCACGAGAUCGUCCCUGGUUUUGUCAUUGGGCAAUGCUUCCCUAUCAAAAUUUCAACACAACAUGUGUCUUCAUUUUUCCCCCCACGCAGGCAUUUCUCACUUCUCAAAUUGCCAGGAAACAGACUCUGGAAGUUUGAAAGAAUAAGAGGAGAGAGUAAAAAUAUACGUGCUGGGUGGAGGGAGUGGAGAAUGCAUUUCCAAAUCUAAAAAUACAUUUUAAAAGCUGAACACCAGCCAGAGGAAGGGAUUUUGUUUUUGAUCUUGGAUGCACUGCCAAAUACGCCCCCCUUGGGGACACAGGAUAGAAAUAGAAACUCUAAGUCGUUCAUAUCAUGUGGAAGUUACAACUUUAGAUCUGUAAGAAAACACAAAGGACAGGAAACCCAGCCUGAUGCUUCCAUUCACAAAUCUGGUUUCAUCUCCACAGCAGCCCUAAUCUUCAUCUUUUGAAACAGACCUGAAUUAGGUGAGCCUUCCAAUUUUUAAUGGCAUGUCUGAUUACUUCCCCCAAAGUGUAAGAGGCAUGGCACAGGAGACUUUGAAGCACACAGGGCACAGAGGGCAUGGUAUUUUAAUCAUCUGCCAGUAUCUGACAGUAAAAUCCUGAGUGUUAUAAUUUUUCAGAUUGUUUUCAUAUGGGUGGAUCUGAGACCAAAGUGACUUUGCCAUUUAGUGACUCCUAAUCAGGUUCAAAAUGUGAAAAAAAGAAAUCAUAUAACAUUGCAGAAUCCUAAGCAGAUGAUGGGGAAAGGAGAGGGAGAAGGAAAAUACUUGCAUUUGUCUCAGGAAACAGGUUGUUUUUUGAAAAAGAUCUAUUUUUUGACAUCAAAGGAUGGGUGGCGGCUAACACAAAUUUUUCCCACAUGAAUACUGACUUUGCUAGAAAACAAGGCAUGGAAGUUUAAAAAUACAUAUUCAGAAAGGUCAGGGCCAGAACCCUUUAAUAAAGGGGUAACCAAGGUCUGCUCUCAGAAAUCUUCACCACGGAACUCUGGUUGGGGUGAGGUAGCUGGAGGGAAUGGAACAGCUUUUUGAUUCUGAAAAACUCUUCUGUUCAAAAGGGGUCUGAGACUCUCAGAAUUAUAUUAUUAUAUCAUAAGGGAGCCUGGGUAUUUCUUUUGCCUGGACAUAGUGUGUGGCCAAGCUCUUUCUCACUGUCCUUAGGUGAGUUGGAGGUGUGGAGCUGGGAACCUGACUCCCAGCGUUGGCAUUCAGAAGGGACUGCCCCUCUCUAAUAGCCCUCGAGUUCCUGGGGACAUAUCACUACACACAACUGGAGGCAUUCUUCAGCUUGGACCUCCGUCUUCCUGCUUCUUGAACUCUAGUUUGUCCUUUUUCUCAUGCCUACCCCCAUGAUGACUCUCUAGGCUGGGGUUUCCCUCUCAUAGCAGGUUUUAAAUGCAUUCCAAUGCUCCUUGCUGGGACAACAGGCUCUGACUUGCCCCAUCUUUUUACAACUGGAUUCUUCAGCUUUUCAGAGACUCGAUUGUGGACCAGGCCCUGCGGCAUACAUUACCCCCACACCCUGUCUGUCACUAACUCUUAGUGUCCACUGUUCCUAUUUAGACAGGUUCUCAGCUUAAGCAGCUGUCAAAAGACCACAGAAGAUGUAUUUCUAGUAUGGCCCCAUCCAGUAGAAACAUGAAUCCAGUCACGUAGGUAGCCUUAAAAUUUCUGGAAGUCACAUUAAAAAAAAGCAAAGAGAAAUGAGCAAAAUCAGUUUUAGUAAAAGAUGUGGAUAACAUCUAUUCCAUGAUAUUCCAAAUUUUGUACUUCAAAAAUUAAUCAAAAAAAUGUAAAAGAGGAAUUUUACAUUCUUUUAUUUUUUAUAUUUGUCUUCAAAAAAUUGUGUGUGUCUUUUAUACUUAUAGGAUAUUUCAUUCACCCUGCAGUCUCAAAUGCCAAUAGCCCCAGUGCCUAGUGGAUACCAUUGGAUAGUGUAGUUCUACCAUACUAACUAGGAAUGAUUUUAAAACUUUUUUAAAAUCCUGUAUUUGUAUAUAAAAUAAAAUCACCUCCAUCGGUUAAAUCUACAAAAGAACAUACAUAUGCAUACUAUCAAACAUAAGUACUUAACUAGUAGCUAAAGAUAAUAAUAACCAUCUUGCUUUGUGCUAUUUUGGAUCUUAAAUGGCCCCAAAGGCCCAUGUCCAUGGUAAAGGUUUGAUUCCCAGAGUGGUGCUAUUGGAAGGUGAUAGAGCCUUUAAGAGAUGGAGCCUAAAAGGAGGUCUUUAGGUCAUUGGGAGUACAUCCUUUGGACACUAGUCCCUUCCUUUCUCCUUUCUCUAUUGCUUCAUGGCUAUAAAGUGAGUGGUUUUGCUCUGCCACAAGUUCCCCUCCAAUUUGGCAUCCCCAUCAAAGUCCUUGAAGCAAUGGAUCUGCCUGAUCAUGGAUGGAACCUCUAAAACCAUGAGCCAAAAUAAACCUUUUCUCUUUAUCACUGAUAUUUGUUAUAGUAAAGA